RNAcentral lists this transfer RNA (76 nucleotides) under Escherichia coli. RNAcentral describes it as "tRNA-Thr". It matches the Rfam family "tRNA". Rfam says of the family: Transfer RNA (tRNA) molecules are approximately 80 nucleotides in length. Their secondary structure includes four short double-helical elements and three loops (D, anti-codon, and T loops). The record is from RNAcentral. Lineage: Bacteria; Pseudomonadati; Pseudomonadota; Gammaproteobacteria; Enterobacterales; Enterobacteriaceae.
GCCGACUUAGCUCAGCAGGCAGAGCAACUGACUUGUAAUGAGUAGGUCACCAGUUCGAUUCCGGUAGUCGGCACCA